CGUAAAACCAUACUGUAUUGUGAACUUAUCAAGGCAUGCAAGUUAUGCAUAAACACAUUCAAACAAAACAAUGGAAGUGGCUACAAUUAAUAACAGCAAGUUCCAGCCAAUAUUAUAAUGUUGCAAUAAAAUACGGUAGGAUUUCAACGAGGUCGAUCAAGCACUUCAGCGGCUUAGCGGCCUAGCGGCGUGAAGUUAGCGGUCUGGCGGCCUGGCGGCCUUGCGGCCUAAAAUGGUAUCCCAUUUCAAAAUGCAUUUCCGUUGAGAUAUUUGCCUUGGUAUCAGAAAUUGAUCAACAGAAGGGAUCUGUGAGAAAUUUAUGCGAAUAAAAAGGCCCUAGAACAAAGACUAGUUGAGCAGAGACUGCAAUUGUUCAUUUGAGACGGGAAUGUGCAGUUAUAAAGGAGAAACCUCAAGAAAAAA
Long non-coding RNA from Mya arenaria, 423 nucleotides. RefSeq lists it as uncharacterized. The transcript is spliced from 3 exons. Lineage: Eukaryota; Metazoa; Mollusca; Bivalvia; Myida; Myidae. The record is from RefSeq and is a predicted model, not a curated record.